AUAUAUUAAAAGAAAGUACUAUUUUAGAACAAGGCAAAACUCUAAUAGAUCCAAAAGUGGAUGUACACAGAGGAUUACAGGUUGUGGGGUCACAUCCUUACAGUUGGGAGAAACCUUACCAUUAAUAUCUCAAGACAUGGAUACCACAUUGUAUUGCUUACCUCUUGGAGUGUGUACUGGUAUUUGCACCAUUUAAUUUUCCUGCAAUGAUACCAUUUUGGAUGCUUCCUCUAGCAUUGGUAUGUGGUAAUACCAUGAUUCUUGCACCAUUGGAAAGAGAUCCAGGUGCUGCAAUGAUUUUAAUGAAGUUAACAAAAGAAGUUGGUAUACCUGAUAGUUGUUAAUGUUAUUCAUGGUGCACAUGAAGGGUAAAUAUGUCUAUGAACGAGGCUCCAAGAAUGUCAAACGAGUGCAGUGUAAUAUGCUUGUAGGUGCAGCAGGUCAGCCUUGUAUGGCCUUAUCAACAGCUGUUUCAGGUUUUACAGAAAGAUCUUGGACCUGUCAUAUCACCUGGAAGCCAAAAAGAGAAUUUGCAAUUUAGUUGAAUCGGAAGUAAAGGAGGGUGCCAAAUUGUUGUUGGAUGGAAGAGGCAUUGUAGUUCCAGGUUUUGAAAAAGGAAACUUUGUUGGUCCGACUAUUCUUUCUGAUGUGAAGCCUUUGAUGAUGCUAUUAAUCUUAUUAAUUGUAAUCCUUAUGGAUAUGGAACAGCAGUGUUUACUGCAAAUAGAGCUACAGCAAAGAAAUUUGUGGCAGAAAUUGAUAUUGGUCAAGUUUCAGUUUCUACACGCAGCUGAAGAUGAUAACCCAGUUGGGGAGAGAACAAGAUGCUACUGAUUCUAAAGUAACAACGAGCAUGCCAGUCAUGAAGUGAAUAACAUGAAGUGCUAAUAUAUCUUCC
RNA transcript from Argiope bruennichi, 898 nucleotides. It is a transcript of the gene named probable methylmalonate-semialdehyde dehydrogenase [acylating], mitochondrial, with no coding region annotated. The record is from RefSeq and is a predicted model, not a curated record. Lineage: Eukaryota; Metazoa; Arthropoda; Arachnida; Araneae; Araneidae. The transcript has 8 exons.